Molecule: long non-coding RNA, 6473 nt
Filed under: Sus scrofa (pig)
Lineage: Eukaryota; Metazoa; Chordata; Mammalia; Artiodactyla; Suidae
Description: lncRNA (ENSSSCG00060053710.1)
Source: RNAcentral
UUUUUUUUUUUUUUUUUUUUUUUUUAAGCAUUGUAGUAAGUGGUGGAGGCAAUCUUAGUACACUGAUUCUGGAUUUUUGAAAUAGAAUGCUCCUAAAGUGUCUGCCCUAAGGGAACCAAGGAUAUUAAUGGCUUAAUAUUUGCAAGUCACUAUAUGUAUUCUCACAGCAAAGGGAAGCCUAUCUCAUUUGUAAAACAUAACCUCAAGAAAUAGAACUAUAUACAAAAUAAGCCAAGCCCUGCUAAAAUAUUUCAUUUUCCACUACUUUGCAUUAUUAACUAGCUUUGGAUUGUUGAUUUUUAUUAACUCUCUGGCUGCUUGACCAUAGAAAGAAUUAAAAAGAUGUUUUGAUUCCCAAUGUCUUCUUUCAAGAAAAGCUGAGUGUGUCUUCCAUGGGUGAGUGGUUUUAAAAUCCCACCAAAUUGGCACAUUUUUCAAAGUCUGUUCAGAAAACAUAAGUGUUCAAAAUUAUGAAAAUUUUGGAGGCCAUAAUUUUCCCAGCUGGAUGAAGUGGAUAACGCUAAGAUGCCUCAUAGAUCAUACCAUGUUGUCAUUUAUUAUAAUGUUUGAACAUAAUACAGAAUUUGUGUUGUCAAGAAUAUUGGGUGGGGUGAUUUAUUGGCUAAGAUUGAUUAUGAUGCUAAUAGUGCAGAUGGCUUAAAUUUUGGAAGAGGGAAAUUUCUCAUCACUGAGAAUGAAGGAAUAAAUGCUGGGUUGCCAAGAAACAAAGGGGCCUUCACUUAGAAAAGACUAAUUUACCUGCCACGUGCAGACAAUAUUCAAGAAAUAGUUUUUGUUUUGUCUUCCUUCAAACAUACACUUUAAACUCUAUUUCUUGCCUCAGGGAAUAGUGGACAUUUUAUGUAUGUGAAAUGUUUUUCUACAGUGAAGCAAACUUUUGUGAGCUCUCCCUCUGGGACAAUGUGGGCUGUGCUUUCAAAGUUUCUCUUCAGUUUCCUGCUGUAAGUACUGAAACCAUGACCUUGCCUGCAAGGCUUUUGCAGCUGAAUGUCUAGAGCUCUGACGUUUGCAAUGACUUUCAGUCAUUUUCUGGAGGCUAACACCUGGAAGCCAUCACCUGUAGGUGCCCAGCUGCCACACAAUGUACCCCACACAGCAGUGUGGGCGCUAAUAGAGAGGCAUUGACCUACCAGGUAAAACAAACAAGACAGACACCAGAUUGUCUCAUGUAGAAAUGACACUGCCUGUCCCUAUCUGACCACCACGACUAUUCAAAAAUUCAGAUGACAGUAUAGGAAUAAGAGGAGCCAAAAAAUCCAUGAAUAAUAACUCAAAUUUGCUUUUUCUUCCUAAGUGAUAUAUAUAAGCAGAGGGGGUUCCUCAGAACCCCAAUGACAAGUCACUCUGCCUCUCUUUUGAUCUGAAUUCUAUGUACUCGAGAGCAGGGUUUUUGGAAACCAGGCCCUAGUCUUCACCAUCCUCAAUCAACAGCCAGGACUCUGAAGCUGGUCCUUUACUCAUGUUACCUAUUCCAAAGUUACACUUAGUUCAUCUAAAUAUAAAUAAAGUGACAGCAACAAUGCUUGGGAAGAAUGAGAUUGCUAAUUUGAAGAAAUCUUGAGUUUUAUCAAGUCUGAGGCUGGCUUCAUGUAGUUUACACUAAAAUAUUUUAUUUACAUCAUUGAGUCACCUAUGAACUAGGGAUGUGUCCUUCAAAAAUAUUUAUAGUAGUAAAAUGAAGCCCUCCUUGUCCAAAAAAUGGGAGUGCUAAUUAAUCGAAAAUUGAUGUGUCACCUGAUAAGCGUCUCUUUAUAGGAGCAAGAAUGACCCUUAUGCCAAUGGAAAGAUACAGAGCUUGAGGCAUUUCUCUAACUGAGAACAUCGCCCGGUAAAUGAAUGGGAUUUUGCAGGUCUGCUCUUGUACACAAUUAUUCUUCCACACAAUGAUAUCUAUUCUGGGCAAACCUGCAAUGCUGUAUUUAAAAGCUUUUUCUUCUUCUUCUGUACACAGUAGGGAUAAACAGGCAACUCUCUUUGAAGUAGAACAGAGAGUGACUCCAUGAAGUCAAGGGCUGUUGCGAAAGAAUGUAAAGCAAAAGGUGAAAAACUUGACUAACAGCCAUUUAAGAAUGAAAAUGUGUUUUAGCUGGGAUUCCAUUAACUGAUCAAAGAGUGACGUGUGCAUGUGCGUGCACGCGCCCACACACACACAUUUAUACAGGCUCUUAUACCAAAAGAUUUGCCUUUCCAUGUGCUUUAUCAAAUGGGUUUGGCCAACAUCUUAUUGCCUUCAGCACUCCAAUGUCACAUCAAAGCAGAUUUGUUUAAUGCAUCUCUGUAAUUCAUUACCUGAAUUUCCUAUCUCAUAUGCAGAUCCACUUGCUCACUGGCUGAUGUUUUGUGGUUCCUAAGAGCAGUAUUCUAUUUGAAGAAGGACCAGACUGGCUUAUUCAGAUUCAGAUGUGGACAACUAUUUACCCUGGGGAAACCAGACAAAAAAAUGUUUUUUUUUUCCUCAAGGCAAGAGAAGCUUGUCUGCAGAUUUGCAUCUGAGAUCUGGUACUAGAUAAUGUUAGUGCUUUCUUGAGCCUAAAAUCUGGGUCUAUUUGACUCAAUGCUCACAACUAGCAAAGGAUCAUUUAUCACUGAAUAACAUGGUUGGCAUGUUUAAUGAUCUAAUAAUAAUUAAUUACUAAGACCCUACCAUGUACCAUUUAAUGUGUAAGGCACUGCAGAUAAACAUUUAAAAAUUAUUUUAUUUGCAGAACAGAAACAGACUCACAGACUUUUAAAAACUUAUGGUUACCAAAGGGGGCAGGUUUGGGGAAAGUGGACUGGGCAUUUGAGGAAAGUAGACUGGGAGUUUGGGAUUUACAUAUGCACACUAAGGUAUAUGGAAUGAUUGGACAAUGGGAACCUUCCGAAUAGCACAGAGAACUCUACCCAAUCUUCUGUGAUAAUCUAUAUGGGAACAUAACAUGAAAGAGAAUGGAUGUGUGUUUACGUAUAACUGAAUCACUUUGUUGUACAACAGAACUUAUCACAAUCUUGUAAAUCAACUAUACUUCAAUAAAACUUUAAAAAGGGAGCUUAGGUCUUGCUAAGAUAAAUUUUAAAAUUCUUUUUCAUUAUGGUUUAUUACAGGAUAUUGAAUAUAGUUCCUUGUGCUAUACAGUAGGGGCUGUUGAUUACCCAUCCUAUAUAUAAUACUUUGCAUCUGCUAGUCCCAAACUCCCAAUCCAUCCCUCCCCCACCUCCUUGGCAACCACAGGCCCGUUCCCUAUGCCCAUUUAGACAUAUAGACAGUCGCUCAAGUUUUUUCCAACUUUAGCCAAACAUGUCUACACUGCACCAUCUCCAAGCUGAAGGUAGGAGCUGCAUGAAGGAAGCAGAAGGAGAGAUGAAUAGGCCUAAUGUUCUUUCUGAUAUUCACCCCUAUUGUUGCCUCCAUUCUUAUUCAAGGACACCAUCCUUUUUAAAAUCCUAACUGAACUAAAAUCAACAGUAUCACAUCCUUUCUACUGCCCAGGUGUCAGUGUCAGAAGCUAAUAGUGCACUGAGGCAGCUCAGCCUCCCUCAGAGCAGCCUGUGUGACGGGUGCUCUGAUUGGAGAACACCACGGGGAGAGCACAAAUGGUAUUUUUCAUCACAAAACUCGAUGUGCCCAGAUACACUUGAUUACCCAAGCAGUGUUUAUUUGAACAGGGUUAGGACGAUUUAGGAUGUAGCUUGCUUUCUUCUCUCCUUUGAUCAGCUGGACAAAGUGGAUGUUGGUCAAGAUAAUAAGCUAGGUAAAUUAUGAAAUAACUCAGUUCAAAAUCAGUAUGUAAACAUGAUUAUACAGCCCAUACUUUGGCUCCAAAAAGAAAAAAAAAUUUUUUUUUUAAAUUUCUUUCUGUUUCUGUGCCUUUACACAUGGGCUCUUUGGGGGUCUUAUUUUCUGAGCAUAACGCAUCAAAGUUUUUUCGGUGUUCCACCGCAGUGAGGCCCUCCUCUGUUGAGCGUUAUCUUGAGACCUAGUUCUCUUUAGUGAGAAUUUCAAUAGGUGAAAUAGAAAAUGAUCAGUGAGCAAUGAGGAGUAUUAUAAUGGAAACAUCAUUUCAAAUGAAGGCUUUAACAUCUGUUUCGCUUUCUAAUUACAAAUGCAGCACUCUCUCCUGACAGCCAGUCUCACCAUCACCACCAUAAAUCACAAUCAUAAAAAAGUUAAAAAAAAUGAAGUGAUUUACGUGGCUUUGGGUGCUUUGCAUUCAGAACCUCAUGCCUACUUCAAUCAUGUUGCUUUCACGCACCGGAUGAAAUCAGGUGGGAUGGAGAUGGGGAAAUAGGGCUCUAUACCAAUCAUGCAAUUCAUUUUUCCAUAGACUUUCACUAAAUCCUCAUGUAAACAAAAAUGGCCCUGGGAGGAGAAAACAAACAAACAAAACAACAACAACUACACACAGCUGAGAAGAAAUUAACUUUGGAAAAUUCAGUCAUUUAGGAAUACGUAUGUGUUAAAAACCUCCUAUGUGACAAGCCUGGUGCUGGUCUCUGGGGACAAAGAAGUAAAUAAAAUAUAUUCCUAGAACUGACAGCCAUUUUUUUAAAUGUCUUUGAAAGACACGUUUAAAAAAAUGAUUGCAUAUAUAACUAUAUAAUCACUACUGUGAUGCUUCAGUGAAAGAAAACGGCAGGGCUCUAUGACAAUGAAACCUGCAAAAAAGACCCCACCAAAACAGCAAAACCCUAAGGAGAUAGCACAAAGACCCCAGGAAGCAUUCUUCGGCGGACUUUCAGAAACAGAAGCCACAUCUCCAGGAUUUUUUUCAAUUUCUGAAAAAUCAAUAAUUAGAAGCAGAAAACAGCUUGGAAAAUUUCAACAAAAUAUUGAAGAUGGAAUUUAUAGAUGUAAAUUCCUAAAAUUUCAGACCAAAAGAAUGAGAACAUUUUGUGACAUAUGUCAACUUUUAUACCAAGAAGUAAUAUGUCUAAUGUCAAAAGUUGAUGCGUAUGAAACAACCUAGUAAACAAAAAUAGAGCUGCAAAUUACCCAGACCUUAGCGACAAAAAAAUGAGGACAGGUGACCCAGAGGAAACACAUCCCUAUUCUAGUAUAGGGUUACACCAGUUUCUUGGAAAGAAGUAAAAUUACCACUGAAACGAUCAUAUAGAAAUAUGCAUAUACUAUUAUGUUUUGUAUAAUAACAGUUCCUAUACACUUCUAAAUGCAUUCAUACUACAUGUCACAUAUCAUGUUGUACAUAAGUCUAUAAUAGAUAGUUUUAGUAAAAGAAGGCUAUGCUGUUGUAAUAAUCAAUUCCUGAGUCCUACUAAUUUAAAACUCACUUGUGCAACAUGUUCAUUUUGAUUCAAAUGAAAAUGAGUUUCAUGUGGUCCUCAAAUAAGAAAUCAUGAUGAUGGAGUUCCUACCAACUGAAACUUUUCUGAUUGCCACAGUGGUGGAAAGAGCUUAUGAACUGCCCACUAAUUCUCAAAAGCUUAGAUGUUACAGUCCUUCAAAUUUCACUGGCUAAACCAAGGCAUAUGGUCAUUACUAGAUCAUUUGCCCCAAAAUACAAAGGAGCCAGAUCUUUUUUUUUAACCUCAUAAAACACAGAUACUGUAUUUAACAUACAUAUAACAUAUGCCAUAUGAAUAUGUUUCAUUCUCUCAUCUGUAUCAAUAACGUGUGGUUAAAUAUUGAUUUCCUCACAAGAUUUAUCUGUUAUCGCCAAUUAAAAUGCAGAUAUUUAUAUCAAGCCAAUCUGAUAAACAGCCUCUGCCUUCCACCUCUCUUUUUAAAUGGUAUCUAAACAGGGGAACAUAGCUUACUUCUAUGUGAAAACACAAGCCUUUAAGCCUAGUAAGUAGAAGAUGGAAUAUUAAGGACAUCUCUGCAUGAUAGCAGGUGAGUAUGACACACUAUAUUUAUAGAAAGGAGUUAGUGAUUGGGAGACUACAGCUAUUGAAAUUCAAAACAGCAGAACUGGAUGAGAGGUUAAGCCAUCCUGAUGAAGUCUAAUUAAUAUGAACUCAAUUUGUUCAUAAAAAAGGCUUUUUCCCCUAAAAAUAGUCAGUGUGUUAUGCAGGGAUUAAUCAGCAGUCAGUCAGAAAUAAAUGUUUUCUCAGUGUGUUUUACAAGGAAUGAAACAUUUUAGCCUUCCUUGACAAGAAAAUAAAAUGCUCAUUUCAUAGAAGAUGUCUUUCAUGUAGUCAAAAAGAUUUUUGUUCAUAAAUCUAUGUUUUAAAAACUAUAUAUAUCUUGCUGAAUAGCUCCUUUUUUUCUCCAUUCUUCCAAAGCAUACAUCCAUCAUCUUUGCCCUAGGAAAUCACUAAAGUUUUCACUUCAAUAAUAGAACAUAAAUAUUGAAACAAUAGCUAACUAAACAUGAAUACUUCAAAGAGAGUCUGGCAAUUCAUACUUUUUCAAAUAUUGUAGUGCCUUUUUCUGUGAUUACAAGAUAUGAACCUUGAACACAUUUUUUUAUUUUUUCUACUCCUGGUCCCUCCCCUAUUUCCAGAGCUGUUUG